RNAcentral lists this ribosomal RNA (168 nucleotides) under Triticum aestivum (bread wheat). RNAcentral's name for it is "partial small subunit ribosomal RNA". Lineage: Eukaryota; Viridiplantae; Streptophyta; Magnoliopsida; Poales; Poaceae. The record is from RNAcentral.
AAACUGGGUAGUGAUAUUGAUCCGGAAGAAGCUCAAAAGGCACUUGAAAUAGCCGAAGCUAACUUGAGUAAAGCUGAGGGUACGAAAGAUUUGGUUGAAGCGAAGCUCGCUCUUAGACGAGCUAGGAUACAAAUCGAGGCUGUCAAUUGGAUUCCCCCAUCCAAUUGA